UGUGGGAGCGAGCCUGCUCGCGAUGGCGGUCUGUCAGCCAACAUUGAUGUCGCUGAUCCACCGCUAUCGCGAGCAGGCUCGCUCCCACA
Molecule: unclassified non-coding RNA, 89 nt
Filed under: Pseudomonas sp. A214
Lineage: Bacteria; Pseudomonadati; Pseudomonadota; Gammaproteobacteria; Pseudomonadales; Pseudomonadaceae
Source: RNAcentral